This 118-nucleotide ribosomal RNA is filed under the name uncultured bacterium. RNAcentral describes it as "partial 16S ribosomal RNA". It matches the Rfam family "Bacterial small subunit ribosomal RNA", at positions 1384 to 1501 of the family's 1533-position model. The record is from RNAcentral.
UACACACCGCCCGUCACACCAUGGGAGUUGGUCUUACCCGACGGCGCUGCGCCAACCGCAAGGAGGCAGGCGACCACGGUAGGGUCAGCGACUGGGGUGAAGUCGUAACAAGGUACCC